This 490-nucleotide ribosomal RNA is filed under the name uncultured bacterium. RNAcentral describes it as "partial 16S ribosomal RNA". It matches the Rfam family "Bacterial small subunit ribosomal RNA", at positions 30 to 507 of the family's 1533-position model. The record is from RNAcentral.
AUUGAACGCUGGCGGCAGGCCUAACACAUGCCAGUCGAACGGUACCAGGAAGCAGCUUGCUGCUUUGCUGACGAGUGGCGGACGGGUGAGUAAUGUCUGGGAAACUGCCUGAUGGAGGGGGAUAACUACUGGAAACGGUAGCUAAUACCGCAUAACGUCGCAAGACCAAAGAGGGGGACCUUAGGGCCUCUUGCCAUCGGAUGUGCCCAGAUGGGAUUAGCUAGUAGGUGGGGUAACGGCUCACCUAGGCGACGAUCCCUAGCUGGUCUGAGAGGAUGACCAGCCACACUGGAACUGAGACACGGUCCAGACUCCUACGGGAGGCAGCAGUGGGGAAUAUUGCACAAUGGGCGCAAGCCUGAUGCAGCCAUGCCGCGUGUAUGAAGAAGGCCUUCGGGUUGUAAAGUACUUUCAGCGGGGAGGAAGGGAGUAAAGUUAAUACCUUUGCUCAUUGACGUUACCCGCAGAAGAAGCACCGGCUAACUCCGUG